CAGCCGCCGCGGUAAUACGAAGGGGGCUAGCGUUGUUCGGAAUUACUGGGCGUAAAGCGCACGUAGGCGGAUAUUUAAGUCAGGGGUGAAAUCCCGCAGCUCAACUGCGGAACUGCCUUUGAUACUGGGUAUCUUGAGUAUGGAAGAGGUUAGUGGAAUUGCGAGUGUAGAGGUGAAAUUCGUAGAUAUUCGGAGGAACACCAGUGGCGAAGGCGGCUCACUGGUCCGGUACUGACGCUGAGGUGCGAAAGCGUGGGGAGCAAACAGGAUUAGAUACCCCGGUAGUCCCUGUCUCUUAUAA
Molecule: ribosomal RNA, 301 nt
Filed under: uncultured bacterium
Lineage: Bacteria
Description: partial 16S ribosomal RNA
Rfam family: Bacterial small subunit ribosomal RNA
Source: RNAcentral